GUGCUCAUUUCGGCAGCACAUACACUAAAAUUCAAAUGAUGCAGAGAAGAUUAACAUGGCCCCUGCACAAGGGUGACACACAAGUGCAUGAGCAUUCUGUAUUUUUC
Molecule: small nuclear RNA, 107 nt
Organism: Choloepus hoffmanni (Hoffmann's two-fingered sloth)
Lineage: Eukaryota; Metazoa; Chordata; Mammalia; Pilosa; Megalonychidae
Source: Ensembl